GGUCUCCCAAUGCUUACCACAGGCUGUCUUCUUUACACUGAUUGUAUAAUAGAUAGUGGAGGUACAGUAAAUGCACCCUAUAUACACCUCAGCCUAGGCCCUUUGCUUGGUCUGUAUUGUGAAUGGGGGAUACAAAA
Small nucleolar RNA from Suncus etruscus (white-toothed pygmy shrew), 137 nucleotides. RefSeq annotates it as small nucleolar RNA SNORA51. The record is from RefSeq and is a predicted model, not a curated record. The transcript has a single exon. Lineage: Eukaryota; Metazoa; Chordata; Mammalia; Eulipotyphla; Soricidae.